CCCUACGGGGUGCAGCAUGCGCGAAAACUUUACAAUGCCGGCAACGGCGAUAAGGGGACCUCGAGUGCCAGGUUACAAAUCUGGCUGUCGCGAUGCCUAAAAAGCAUUGCAUAGCAAGGGCCGGGCAAGACCGGUGCCAGCCGCCGCGGUAACACCGGCGGCUCGAGUGGUAACCGUUAUUAUUGGGUCUAAAGGGUCUGUAGCCGGCCGGGUAAGUCUCUUGGGAAAUCCAGCAGCUCAACUGUUGGGCUUUCAGGAGAUACUGCCUGGCUCGAGGCCGGGAGAGGUGAGAGGUACUUCAGGGGUAGGGGUGAAAUCUUGUAAUCCUUGAAGGACCACCAGUGGCGAAGGCGUCUCACCAGAACGGACCUGACGGCAAGGGACGAAAGCUAGGGGCACGAACCGGAUUAGAUACCCGGGUAGUCCUAGCCGUAAACGAUACUCGCUAGGUGUCGGCCACGGUGCGACCAUGGUCGGUGCCGUAGGGAAGCCGUGAAGCGAGCCACCUGGGAAGUACGGCCGCAAGGCUGAAACUUAAAGGAAUUGGCGGGGGAGCAC
This 558-nucleotide ribosomal RNA is filed under the name uncultured archaeon. RNAcentral describes it as "bacterial SSU rRNA". It matches the Rfam family "Archaeal small subunit ribosomal RNA", at positions 321 to 879 of the family's 1478-position model. The record is from RNAcentral.